AACGAACGCUGGCGGCAGGCUUAACACAUGCAAGUCGAACGGGCAUAGCAAUAUGUCAGUGGCAGACGGGUGAGUAACGCGUGGGAACGUGCCCUUUAGUUCGGAAUAACCAAGGGAAACUUUGGCUAAUACCGGAUAAGCCCGAGAGGGGAAAGAUUUAUCGCUGAAGGAGCGGCCCGCGUCUGAUUAGCUAGUUGGUGCGGUAAUGGCUCACCAAGGCGACGAUCAGUAGCUGGUCUGAGAGGAUGAUCAGCAACACUGGGACUGAGACACGGCCCAAACUCCUACGGGAGGCAGCAGUGGGGAAUAUUGGACAAUGGGCGCAAGCCUGAUCCAGCCAUGCCGCGUGAGUGAUGACGGCCGUCGGGUUGUAAAGCUCUUUUGUCCGGGAAGAUAAUGACUGUACCGGAAGAAUAAGCCCCGGCAAACUUCGUGCCAGCAGCCGCCGCCG
Molecule: ribosomal RNA, 451 nt
Filed under: uncultured bacterium
Lineage: Bacteria
Description: partial 16S ribosomal RNA
Rfam family: Bacterial small subunit ribosomal RNA
Source: RNAcentral